UAGGGUUCGAUUCCGGAGAGGGAGCCUGAGAAACGGCUACCACAUCUAAGGAAGGCAGCAGGCGCGCAAAUUACCCACUCCCGGCACGGGGAGGUAGUGACGAAAAAUAACGAUACGGGACUCUUUUGAGGCCCCGUAAUUGGAAUGAGUACACUUUAAAUCCGUUAACAAGUAUCUAUUGGAGGGCAAGUCUGGUGCCAGCAGCCGCGGUAAUUCCAGCUCCAAUAGCGUAUAUUAAUGUUGCUGCAGUUAAAAAGCUCGUAGUUGGAUCUGAGGACUCGAAUUGGUGGUGCAGCAAACGCUGUUACUGCUGAUUCGGCCUACCUAGUCGGUGCUCGCUCUUGGUGUUCUUAAUUGAAUGCCCUGAGUGCCCGACAUGUUUACUUUGAAAAAAUUAGAGUGCUCAAAGCAGGCCAUUAGCCGGAAUACUUCAGCAUGGAAUAAUGGAAUAGGACUUCGGUUCUAUUUUGUUGGUUUUCGGAACCCGAGGUAAUGAUUAAGAGAGACAGACGGGGGCAUUCGUACUGCGGUGUUAGAGGUGAAAUUCUUGGAUCGCCGCAAGACGAACAACUGCGAAAGCAUUUGCCAAGAAUGUUUUCAUUAAUCAAGAACGAAAGUCAGAGGUUCGAAGACGAUCAGAUACCGUCCUAGUUCUGACCAUAAACGAUGCCAACUGGCGAUCCGAGAUCGUUUGCUUUUUGACCUCUCGGGCAGCCUCCGGGAAACCAAAGUCUUUAGGUUCCGGGGGAAGUAUGGUUGCAAAGCUGGAACUUAAAGGAAUUGACGGAAGGGCACCACCAGGAGUGGAGCCUGCGGCUUAAUUUGACCCAACACGGGAAAACUCACCCGGCCCGGACACUGUUAGGAUUGACAGAUUGAGAGCUCUUUCUUGAUUCGGUGGGUGGUGGUGCAUGGCCGUUCUUAGUUGGUGGAGCGAUUUGUCUGGUUAAUUCCGAUAACGAACGAGACUCUAGCCUGCUAAAUAGUACGCCGAUACCUUUUCGUCGGUGCUGACUUCUUAGAGGGACAAGCGUCUUGAAGACGCACGAGAUUGAGCAAUAACAGGUCUGUGAUGUCCUUAGAUGUUCGGGGCCGCACGCGCGCUACACUGAAGGGGACAGCGAGUUUUUCCUGGUUUGAAAGAACCGGGUAAUCUGUUGAAUUCCCUUCGUGACAGGGAUCGGGGCUUGCAAUUAUUCCCCGUGAACGAGGAAUUCCCAGUAAGCGCAAGUCAUCAGCUUGCGUUGAUUACGUCCCUGCCCUUUGUACACACCGCCCGUCGCUACUACCGAUUGAAUGGUUUAGCAAGGUCCUCGGAUUGGUGCCGACUAGGUGGCAACAUUUGGUCGGAUACUGAGAAGAAGAUCAAACUUGAUCAUUUAGAGGAAGUAAAAGUCGUAACAAGGUUUCCGUAGGAACCUGCGGAAG
Molecule: ribosomal RNA, 1428 nt
Filed under: metagenome
Description: SSU rRNA
Rfam family: Eukaryotic small subunit ribosomal RNA
Source: RNAcentral